GACGAACGCUGGCGGCGUGCUUAACACAUGCAAGUCGAGCGGUAAGGCCCUUCGGGGUACGACGAGCGGCGAACGGGUGAGUAACACGUGGGUGACCUGCCCUUAGCUCUGGGAUAAGCCUGGGAAACUGGGUCUAAUACCGGAUAUGACCUCAUGACGCAUGUUGUGGGGUGGAAAGCCUUGUGCGGCUAGGGAUGGGCCCGCGGCCUAUCAGCUUGUUGGUGGGGUGAUGGCCUACCAAGGCGACGACGGGUAGCCGGCCUGAGAGGGCGACCGGCCACACUGGGACUGAGACACGGCCCAGACUCCUACGGGAGGCAGCAGUGGGGAAUCUUGCGCAAUGGGCGAAAGCCUGACGCAGCGACGCCGCGUGAGGGAUGACGGCCU
Molecule: ribosomal RNA, 387 nt
Filed under: uncultured bacterium
Lineage: Bacteria
Description: bacterial SSU rRNA
Rfam family: Bacterial small subunit ribosomal RNA
Source: RNAcentral